GCUAAUACCGCAUAAGCCCACGACCCGGCAUCGGGUAGAGGGAAAAGGAGAAAUCCGCUUUGAUGGCCUCGCGUCCGAUUAGCUAGUUGGUGAGGUAACGGCCCACCAAGGCGACGAUCGGUAGCCGGACUGAGAGGUUGAACGGCCACAUUGGGACUGAGACACGGCCCAGACUCCUACGGGAGGCAGCAGUGGGGAAUAUUGCACAAUGGGGGAAACCCUGAUGCAGCGACGCCGCGUGGAGGAAGAAGGUCUUCGGAUUGUAAACUCCUGUUGUUGAGGAAGAUAAUGACGGUACUCAACAAGGAAGUGACGGCUAACUAUGUGCCAGCAGCCGCGGUAAAACGUAGGUCACAAGCGUUGUCCGGAAUUACUGGGUGUAAAGGGAGCGCAGGCGGGAAGGCAAGUUGGAAGUGAAAUCCAUGGGCUCAACCCAUGAACUGCUUUCAAAACUGUUUUUCUUGAGUAGUGCAGAGGUAGGCGGAAUUCCCGGUGUAGCGGUGGAAUGCGUAGAUAUCGGGAGGAACACCAGUGGCGAAGGCGGCCUACUGGGCACCAACUGACGCUGAGGCUCGAAAGUGUGGGUAGCAAACAGGAUUAGAUACCCUGGUAGUCCACACUGUAAACGAUGAUUACUAGGUGUUGGAGGAUUGCCUCCUUCAGUGCCGCAGUUAACACAAUAAGUAAUCCACCUGGGGAGUACGACCGCAAGGUUGAAACUCAAAGGAAUUGACGGGGGCCCGCACAAGCAGUGGAGUAUGUGGUUUAAUUCGACGCAACGCGAAGAACCUUACCAAGUCUUGACAUCCUGCGACGCACAUAGAAAUAUGUGUUUCCUUCGGGACGCAGAGACAGGUGGUGCAUGGUUGUCGUCAGCUCGUGUCGCGAGAUGUUGGGUUAAGUCCCGCAACGAGCGCAACCCUUAUGGUCAGUUACUACGCAAGAGGACUCUGGCCAGACUGCCGUUGACAAAACGGAGGAAGGUGGGGAUGACGUCAAAUCAUCAUGCCCUUUAUGACUUGGGCUACACACGUACUACAAUGGCGUUAAACAAAGAGAAGCAAGACCGCGAGGUGGAGCAAAACUCAGAAACAACGUCCCAGUUCGGACUGCAGGCUGCAACUCGCCUGCACGAAGUCGGAAUUGCUAGUAAUCGCAGAUCAGCAUGCCGCGGUGAAUACGUUCCCGGGCCUUGUACACACCGCCCGUCACACCAUGAGAGCCGGGGGGACCCGAAGUCGGUAGUCUAACCGCAAGGAGGACGCCGCCGAAGGUAAAACUGGUGAUUGGGGUGAAGUCGGAACAAGGUA
This 1310-nucleotide ribosomal RNA is filed under the name metagenome. RNAcentral's name for it is "bacterial SSU rRNA". It matches the Rfam family "Bacterial small subunit ribosomal RNA", at positions 162 to 1498 of the family's 1533-position model. The record is from RNAcentral.